Small nucleolar RNA from Onychostoma macrolepis, 133 nucleotides. RefSeq annotates it as U8 small nucleolar RNA. NCBI's taxonomy places the organism in Eukaryota, Metazoa, Chordata, Actinopteri, Cypriniformes, Cyprinidae. The transcript has a single exon. The record is from RefSeq and is a predicted model, not a curated record.
GCAUUAGUUGGUAUAAAACUAACUUACUAUCUUAGAAAUGAGAUAGCAAAUAAUGAUGAUUGGAUUCUAUGAAUGCGUGAUUAUUAUCCGUAUUCGUUUAGGGCUUGUAACCCCUUUUCGAAUCCUUUCUGAA